CCAACUAAUUUAAUUAUUCGUUGGAAAUAACCCUUAUAAUUCCUACUCAGUCCGAUAUAUUCCCUUCACCUCUUGCCCUAGUUUUUUCACGCCCUAAUUUUUCCAACAAAGGCGGCUGUGGCGAUUUUUCUGCCGAUCUCCGGACGGUUGCCGCUCGCGGCCGUGCCUGCCGCUCACGACCGCGGGCCGCUGCUCCUGGCCGCUCGCUGCCGCGGGCCGCCGCGCCUGGCCGCUCCCUCCUCUUCUUCUUCCACUCCAUGGGUGCAUUGCCGAUUAGCAGAAGCAGAGAUCUGGCUUUAAUCAUAGAAUAGUUGCAGCUAUUCCUCAGCGCAAUCUAUUUCUCUGGGUAAAUGUAGAACUUCUCUUGGCUGGACUACUUUUCGAUGUAUGAUUUGAAGUGAUUCGGUUCUCUGGUUCUCUGAUUUACUUUUUGGGCUCAGUAUUUUGGAAUCCUUUCCUCUCUUUUUUUUUCAGCUUUUCAAAAUUUUUUUACUUUAAUCUUUUCAACGUGAUGUUGUCUCCAUCUGCUCCUUUUGAAAAGUACUCAAAUCCGAUUCGAGUUUUGAAAUUCCUGAACUGUUGCUUUUUAUUAUCUUUUUAAACGAUUGGGGCAACUAUUAGUUUUAGGCUUAAAGUAGCAGCUUUCUGAGAUAGGAACCUGAGAAUAACACAGGCAAGACAUUAAAUUGCAUCAGAUUCAAGGUGGAGCCCUCUUCAAUUGUUUUUGCGAUCAUUACUUUUCUCUGGGGGAAGUGAUAUUAAUUAAUGGUGCCUGCUUAAUUCGAACCUAUCACUUGUUUUAGAAUCCAGUUCAUAAUAUAUUUUGCCCAUUUUCCGCCAAAGCAGGGAUUGAUUCUCAUGAAGAGAUUUGCUUGCUGUCGCCGCCAGACAAAAGAUUUCAGCCUUGAUUUCGAGGAUCAAGACCGGUUGGUAGGUGAAAAUGAUGGUGGUAUUGACGUAAAAAUAUGUAGAAGAAGGAAUUGGAUUUAGAAGGAUCUCCAUAAGAUUAUCUUCUACUUUUUUUCAUGUUUUUGUAUGAGAUUGGAAUUUGGAUACACUUUGUUGUAACUUUGUUGUAGUGUUUGAUUUAGAGGGUUAGUUGUUGUAUAUUGUUAUUAUUUGUAUGGUUGGAUGAUGAUGUUUGUUGUAUUGUUAGUUUUAUGUUUUUAGUUUAGGUUCUAUAUGAAACAUGUUUUGACGAUGUAUAUGUUUGGGUUUAGAUUAUUGAUGUUUGUAUUUACACAAAUAUAUUAAUUAAUAUUUGGUUUA
Zingiber officinale is the source of this 1269-nucleotide long non-coding RNA. RefSeq lists it as uncharacterized. NCBI's taxonomy places the organism in Eukaryota, Viridiplantae, Streptophyta, Magnoliopsida, Zingiberales, Zingiberaceae. The transcript has 5 exons. The record is from RefSeq and is a predicted model, not a curated record.